RNAcentral lists this non-coding RNA (24 nucleotides) under Arabidopsis thaliana (thale cress). Lineage: Eukaryota; Viridiplantae; Streptophyta; Magnoliopsida; Brassicales; Brassicaceae. The record is from RNAcentral.
UGUCGGAGGUGCUAAUUCCUGCAC